CAGUGGGGAGGUAAAGAAGACUUCCCCCAACUUGGACUUGGGCCCCCACUCAGUCUCCUUGACUCUUCAGAAACCCGAGGAAUCCGCUGAGCCAGAGUAUGCCCAGGAUGCUGCAAAGGGAGAUGGGAAACCGAGGCACAACAGAGGAAAGUGCUUUUGCCGAUGGCCACAUAGCUCUGAGCACUGGAGGCAGAGAUGGAGCCUCCAGGUCUCCCAACUCCAGCCCCCAGCCCAUUUACUUGAUGGAGUUCUCGGCUAAUGAGGUGGGGAGAGUGGCCUCCCAAGUGGAAGCUGUGGGGACCUGCAGUCAACUUGCCUCCUCCAUUUCAAUCUUGGACUUGGCCAGGAGGAGCUUUCGGUCAAAGUCACGCUGCUUCUGCUCCCGCUCAGCCUCCAG
Suricata suricatta (meerkat) is the source of this 397-nucleotide long non-coding RNA. RefSeq lists it as uncharacterized. The record is from RefSeq and is a predicted model, not a curated record. The transcript has 2 exons. Lineage: Eukaryota; Metazoa; Chordata; Mammalia; Carnivora; Herpestidae.